GCCAGUGUGGCGUAAUGGUUCGAGUGUUGGACUAGGACUCUGGAAACCAGGGUUCGAUUCCCUGCUCGGCCA
Molecule: non-coding RNA, 72 nt
Organism: Phrynosoma platyrhinos (Desert horned lizard)
Lineage: Eukaryota; Metazoa; Chordata; Lepidosauria; Squamata; Phrynosomatidae
Source: the annotation of a GenBank genome assembly